GUCCCAGUAGCUCAGCCGGAUAGAGCAGCGGCCUUCUAAGCCGUCGGUCGGGAGUUCGAAUCUCUCCUGGGACG
Molecule: transfer RNA, 74 nt
Filed under: Parageobacillus toebii
Lineage: Bacteria; Bacillati; Bacillota; Bacilli; Caryophanales; Anoxybacillaceae
Also listed under: 3 other names
Description: tRNA-Arg
Rfam family: tRNA
About the family: Transfer RNA (tRNA) molecules are approximately 80 nucleotides in length. Their secondary structure includes four short double-helical elements and three loops (D, anti-codon, and T loops).
Source: RNAcentral